AAAUGCUUCAGAUUUCCAAGGCUAUGCUGAAACCAGCUGACCCAGUGCUUGUGCGUAUCCUGACUGUGGGCUCGUGUGUUCCUGCUCAGUCUGUGAUGACUGAAUGAAUGAGUUCAUUUCGUAGUAUGGCCAAGAGUUUGGAAAUCCCCUAUCCUGAAGAACUUAUAAAAUAGAUCCUGU
This 180-nucleotide long non-coding RNA is filed under the name Chinchilla lanigera (long-tailed chinchilla). Its description in RNAcentral is "lncRNA (ENSCLAG00000028819.1)". The record is from RNAcentral. Lineage: Eukaryota; Metazoa; Chordata; Mammalia; Rodentia; Chinchillidae.